Long non-coding RNA from Corvus hawaiiensis (hawaiian crow), 3110 nucleotides. RefSeq lists it as uncharacterized. NCBI's taxonomy places the organism in Eukaryota, Metazoa, Chordata, Aves, Passeriformes, Corvidae. The transcript is spliced from 2 exons. The record is from RefSeq and is a predicted model, not a curated record.
GUCAACCAACAGGUUAAAAGGUUGGAGAGCCCCUUGGGCUGAGCUAGUAGUCCUGUUGUUAUCUUACGGUGCCCUUCUUUCCAUCCCCUUCUUUCUUUCCUGUUAAUGUAUUUUUGUAAACUGUAUGCCAGCAGCUGUCACUGAAGCAUCUAGUCUCCUCCAGGCUGCUUCUUGGUUCCUUCAGUUCUUUGAGGCUGAGAGGAAAACCAGCUCCAAAGUAUGGAAUAACAUGGUGUUUCUGGUAAUGGACAGGGUUUGAGUCUUCAGCUUUUUUAAUGCCUGCCUGUCUGCAGAGUUUAGAUGUGAGGGUAUGUGCCCCCCAGAAUUGUUUUAGGUGAGCUGGAUCAGAGAGAGCUGUGAGCUCUCCCCAUUUCUUGUGACAGGUUUUGGAUACAAGAGAUAAGCAGACUGCAGGGCUUGGUGUGUCGAGGCAGGCUGCCUUUCAGUUCACACUUGCUCUGCAUAGGACAGACUGACACAGCUCUGGCUACAGCUGAUAUUGCUGGCGGGGUGGGCUGGGGGGCAAAAGAGCACGUCAUGUGGUCAGAAAUCUGCCCAACCCUCCUACUAAAUACAAGCCAAGAAAGGCUUGCCUUCCUGGCAACUGCAUGGCAGGUGACUGCACAUGAAUGAACACUGCUAAAAUUAAUAUCUGUAUGAUUAAAUGGUGUUCUUCACUCAUUUUUUCCACUUUUCUACCUGGUUCACGUACAACAUUCACUUAGUGUUUUUUACUAAGUGGUGGUCUCAGUGCAGUUGGUGGUCACAAGAAACAGUAGAGGAGAAAGUUCCUUCCACAGGAAAGACACAUUAAAAAUAACAUCACCCCUGGAGGAGGCAGUAGUUGACAAUGGAACUUUUCAACUCCCUUCAUUUGCUAAUGUUGUAAAAGUUGGCAGCUCUUUAAAUUGCUGAUGGCCCUCUAAAUACGUCAUGGGUUUUGGUCUGGUUUUUUUCUUAAAUAAGUAAUCCAUCAGAAUGACAAAGUACCUUCGGAAAGAAGAGCAUUGUGAUUUUAAGUUCAUCUAGAAGUUACAGAGGAAAAACACAGCCUGACUGUUAAUUGUUUUACUUCAAUGCCUUUUGCUGAUAUUGAGAGCUUAGAAGAGCUCAGUAGUGAUUUCAAUUACUUGGGUGUAAAUCUGGAAAAUGACAGUGGAGUUGGUCCAGAUUUACAUAAGGACAAAUGAGAUUUUAAGAAAUGUCUGUAUAGUUUCCUUUCAGGCUUUAGAUAUAAUUAUCUUAAUUAGCCUCUCAAUUCAAGGGUCUAAUUUCCACCAUGGUUAAUGAAUAACACUUAUACUUGGUGACUGAAUUAUCUGACUUGAAUUAUCAUUUUUAGGGAAUAUUCUAAAGACUUCUAGUGAGAAAAAAAAGCCUCAGAGUUCUCCAGCUUUAUUUUUCCAAAUAUAAAGACUAAAUAUAGCAUGUGUUCCCCAGAAAAUGUGAGUGACAGGGAUUAGUAAUUCAUCAACAACAUGGCCCAUUUACAGUCCUACCAGCACAGAAUUCACCACGGCAUGGAGAAUAUCAAACAAAACAACUCGGUUUACUUCCAUGCAUUUAAAACAAUGAGGAAUAAAGGCUUAAUUCAGACUAAAACUCCAGAUGCUCCCUGGAUUUAAUUAAUAGUAAUGAAAACAUUAAAUAAUAGCUAAGAAAUAAACUGAAACUGGAAUUAUAAAAGGCUGAAAAAUAAUUAAUUAAAUCUCAAAAGUAUUAAAAGUUGUAGUUGAAAAUGAAGCUGUGUUCUGUCACAAGGCUUUGCUCAAAAAAUACUUUUCAAAAGUCCCCCCCAAAACCUAUGGGUUGCAUUUAAUUGUAUUUUAAAUCCCUGCCAGCUCAUUCCAAGAGGUGGUGUGACUAUGAGCACCCCCUCGAGACUACGGUGUUUCUUAGCAGUUGAUCAUUUUCGCAUGGUUUUCUUUUAAAAUAGAUCUCAGGACUGAGUUGCAGGGGCCCCAGUUCCUCAAGACUCAUUUGGAAAGGGAGCAUUUUGCGCUUGAUGCCCUGGGCAGGCGUGGAAAGCAGAGCAGAGCAGAGCAGAGCAGUGCUCCCAGGCAGGCUGACUGUGUCCUGUGUUAUCGGUGGAGCAAGGUGCACUGGUGCGGCAGCAGCUGCAGGGGCUCCAGGCCACUGAGCCGACUUUUUAGAGCACAACCUGCUAUUUGCACCUGCCCAGUCAUGCUUCUGGAAGAGAAGAAGUUGGUCCAGCUGUACCUCCAGUGGCUGUGGAUAGGAGGAGUUCAUGUGUUUGCUGCCUUCUCUUCCCUUACAGAAGUAGCCCAAGUCCUUGCAACUUUGAGUUUCAUUGUGUACCUCUGCUUAGCUUCAGGUAUAAAUCAACCACAGCAGGCAUUUGCUGCCUGUUACACUACAAAGCAUCAGACAUUAUCUGUAAGCACUGCACUCAGUUUUGCCACAGUUCAGUAAACAAUGUACAUGGCUGCUGUGCUCCAAGUGAGUCAGAGACCUAGAAAUGAGCUGUUACUGUGCAGCAGGGUACAAACUAGGCCUUUCUUUACCCAAUCCAAGCACACAAAGCAAGUUAUUGCUGUAAAUAUUUCUCUCUCUGGCCUUUUCUUCGCUGCAAAGAGAGGUACUUUCCUAAUGUCUGUUAGAGAUCCAAACCACAAACAUAUUAAAAUAUAUUUGCUUGUUUAUUGUAGCUGUUAAAUCCACCAACUCCUGUGGUGCUAAUAAGAAUGAAAAGGGCACCUUUUCCCAUGGAUGGUUUUGUUCUUGGUGUAUCCAAGGACAAGCAACUUUAUCUUUGGAAAACCAAAGCUGUGUUAUAUGUUAUGUAUGUUUUAUACUCCUCAGUUAUAUGUGAAUAAUGUAAUCAAUGGAAAGUGGAUUCCAACUUAUUUUUGAUGGCUGACAACAGAUGCCUUGCUGUGCUUCACCUUCCCACCCAGUUCUCUGUCUUCUGACAUUUCCCCUGCCCUGCCUACCCCUGUUUUUCUUAUUUUUGAUUUUUUUCCCCUUCUGGUUUUAAUUUAAUCCUUUUCUCAACCAAUAAACAAAACCCUCCUGUAAAAUUUGCUCUGCAUGAAUGAAUCAUUGUUAUGCUUUUUAUCCCUUGCCUUUAAUAAAUGUUAUAGGAUGAA